Molecule: transfer RNA, 73 nt
Filed under: Methanobacteriota archaeon
Lineage: Archaea; Methanobacteriati; Methanobacteriota
Also listed under: 2 other names
Description: Euryarchaeota archaeon (freshwater metagenome) tRNA-Thr
Rfam family: tRNA
About the family: Transfer RNA (tRNA) molecules are approximately 80 nucleotides in length.
Source: RNAcentral
GCCUCAGUAGCUCAGCUGGUAGAGCACUGGAUUUGUAAUCCAGCGGUCGGGGGUUCGAUUCCCUCCUGGGGCU